RNAcentral lists this transfer RNA (64 nucleotides) under Lygaeus sp. PJ-2017. Its description in RNAcentral is "tRNA-Tyr". Lineage: Eukaryota; Metazoa; Arthropoda; Insecta; Hemiptera; Lygaeidae. The record is from RNAcentral. RNAcentral also lists the same sequence under 1 other name.
GAUAAGGUGGCUGAAUUUUAGGCUGUAAAUUGUAAAUUUAUAUAUGGUUGUUAACCCCUUAUUA